Molecule: ribosomal RNA, 253 nt
Filed under: uncultured bacterium
Lineage: Bacteria
Description: partial 16S ribosomal RNA
Rfam family: Bacterial small subunit ribosomal RNA
Source: RNAcentral
UACGUAGGGGGCAAGCGUUGUCCGGAAUCAUUGGGCGUAAAGAGCGCGUAGGCGGCCCUGUAAGUCCGCUGUGAAAGUCAAGGGCUCAACCCUUGGAUGCCGGUGGAUACUGCAGGGCUAGAGUCCGGAAGAGGCGAGUGGAAUUCCUGGUGUAGCGGUGAAAUGCGCAGAUAUCAGGAGGAACACCGGUGGCGAAGGCGGGUCUCUGGGCAUCUCCUGACGCUGAGGCGCGAAAGCGUGGGGAGCAAACGGG